Molecule: ribosomal RNA, 392 nt
Filed under: uncultured bacterium
Lineage: Bacteria
Description: bacterial SSU rRNA
Rfam family: Bacterial small subunit ribosomal RNA
Source: RNAcentral
GACGAACGCUGGCGGCGUGCUUAACACAUGCAAGUCGAGCGGUAAGGCCCUUUCGGGGGUACGACGAGCGGCAAACGGGUGGGUAACACGUGGGUGACCUGCCCUCAGCUCUGGGAUAAGCCUGGGAAACCGGGUCUAAUACUGGAUAUGACUCCAUGACGCAUGUUGUGGGGUGGAAAGCCUUGUGCGGCUGAGGAUGGGCCCGCGGCCUAUCAGCUUGUUGGUGGGGUGAUGGCCUACCAAGGCGACGACGGGUAGCCGGCCUGAGAGGGCGACCGGCCACACUGGGACUGAGACACGGCCCAGACUCCUACGGGAGGCAGCAGUGGGGAAUCUUGCGCAAUGGGCGAAAGCCUGACGCAGCGACGCCGCGUGAGGGAUGACGGCCUCGG